This 253-nucleotide ribosomal RNA is filed under the name uncultured bacterium. RNAcentral describes it as "partial 16S ribosomal RNA". It matches the Rfam family "Bacterial small subunit ribosomal RNA", at positions 524 to 776 of the family's 1533-position model. The record is from RNAcentral.
UACGUAGGGGGCAAGCGUUGUCCGGAUUUAUUGGGCGUAAAGAGCGUGUAGGCGGCCUGAAAGGUCAGCUGUGAAAACUCGAGGCUCAACCUCGAGACGUCGGUUGAAACCAUCUGGCUAGAGUCCGGAAGAGGAGAGUGGAAUUCCCGGUGUAGCGGUGAAAUGCGCAGAUAUCGGGAAGAACACCCGUGGCUAAGGCGGCUCUCUAGUACGGUACUGACGCUGAGACGCGAAAGCGUGGGGAGCGAACAGG